This is a non-coding RNA of Amborella trichopoda, 1292 nucleotides long. The record is from RefSeq and is a predicted model, not a curated record. NCBI's taxonomy places the organism in Eukaryota, Viridiplantae, Streptophyta, Magnoliopsida, Amborellales, Amborellaceae.
ACGAUAUGGGAUGGCCAACCUCUCUCAACCAGCUCCAACCUCGGGGCCUCCCUGCAAGGAUGACAAUGGAAAGGGGAGCCAUUCUGUUUCAUUAAGACAUAUUUUCAAUCACUUCUCGACUAGUGGAAUAUCGGUCACCGCUGCUACUGGGGUUACACACCCUUUGGAUGUCAUCAAAGUCAGACUACAAAUGCAGCUAGUUGGUCAGAAAGGUCCCUUGACUGGAAUGGGAAAGAUUUUCGCCCAGAUAGUGAAAAUCGAAGGACCUCAAGCUCUAUAUUUGGGACUUACCCCUGCACUUACUAGAUCUCUUUUGUAUGGAGGCCUUCGUGUAGGUUUGUAUGAGCCUUGCAAGUAUUUCUGCAACUUAACUCUUGGAUCCACUAAUAUUUUGGUGAAAAUUGCAUCGGGAGCAUUCUCUGGUGCUAUUGCAAGUGCAUUAACGAAUCCAACAGAAGUUUUGAAGGUGCGUUUACAAAUGAACUCAAAUUUGGGAAAGACAAAAGUAUUAAGAGAAAUGCAAAAGAUCAUGUCAGAUGAGGGAAUUAUAGCACUAUGGAAGGGUGUGGGCCCUGCAAUGGCCAGGGCUGCUGCCUUGACUGCAUCACAAUUAGCAACAUAUGAUGAGUCCAAGCAGGCUUUGAUGCAUUGGACAUCUUUGAAAGAAGGAUUUAAUCUACAUCUCAUUUCAAGUGCCAUAGCAGGUACAAUGGGGACCCUGGUAACUGCACCCAUGGAUAUGGUUAAAACUCGUCUCAUGAUGCAAAGAGAAUCUAAGAAACUCGGGAAUUAUAGAAAUGGAUUUCACUGUGCUUAUCAGGUAAUUGGUGUUAGCUAAUGUGGGUUCUUGUACUUUGUACUAUUUGGGGACUAUUUUAAAAAUUUAUUUCCAUUAUUUUCUUUUGCUUCUUGCUAAACUAGGCACCCAAGCCUUCUAUACUAAAAUAUCAAUCAUUUCUUCUUACACCAUUAGAGGCUCGUAGGAGUUUCCUUUUUUAAGCUUCUUACAUGUAGAGCCUCUUAUUAUUAUUAUUAUUAUUAUUUUUCUCCCUUUUCAUUACUUCUUGAAGGUGCACCGUUUCGCUCUUAUCUUCCUUCAUUAUUACUUGGAUUUCUUGCAGAAAAAUAAAAGUUAAAAGCACCUCAUCAUUGUUCACAUUUCUGUUAGAAUAAUUCCUCAUGUUUAUUCAUGCUCUAGAUGAAGGUGGUGGUAACUGAAGGCCCCCGAGCUCUAUACAAGGGGGGUUUCACCACCUUUGCAAGGCUUGGUCCGCAAACCACCAUCACUUUUC